Molecule: long non-coding RNA, 720 nt
Organism: Oncorhynchus keta (chum salmon)
Lineage: Eukaryota; Metazoa; Chordata; Actinopteri; Salmoniformes; Salmonidae
Exons: 4
Source: RefSeq, a predicted model, not a curated record
ACAGUUGUAAUGUCACAUGAACAAGAACAGUGAAAUGUCUUUCAAACUCAAAACCCAACAAAGCAAUAAAUCAAUAACAAUGUAUUACUAGAAAACAAGAAAUACUAGAAAUAAGAAUAAGAAAUAAAGUAAGAAAGUAGCACACUAUAUAAAGUAACUAUUUAAAAAAUCAGUUCAGUACCAUAUUAACAUGUUAACGUGCUUUUACACCUGCAUUGUUUGCUGUUUGGGGUUUUAGGCUGGGUUUCUGUACAGCACUUUGAGAUAUCAGCUGAUGUACGAAGGGCUAUAUAAAUAAAUUUGAUUUGAUGUACAGGGAUACUGGAGUGAUGGAGGUAGAUAUGUAUAGGGGGGAGGAGACAGGGAUACUGGAGUGAUGGAGGUAGAUAUGUAUAGGGGGAAGGUGACAGGGAUACUGGAGUGAUGGAGGUAGAUAUGUAUAGGGGGAAGGAGACAGGGAUACUGGAGUGAUGGAGGUAGAUAUGUAUAGGGAGAAGGAGACAGGGAUACUGGAGUGAUGGAGGUAGAUAUGUAUAGGGGGAAGGAGACAGGGAUACUGGAGUGAUGGAGGUAGAUAUGUAUAGGGGGAAGGAGACAGGGAUACUGGAGUGAUGGAGGUAGAUAUGUAUAGGGGGAAGGGGACAGGGAUACUGGAGUGAUGGAGGUAGAUAUGUAUAGGGGGAAGGAGACAGGGAUACUGGAGUGAUGGAGGUAGAUAUG